Pteropus alecto (black flying fox) is the source of this 334-nucleotide long non-coding RNA. RefSeq lists it as uncharacterized. The record is from RefSeq and is a predicted model, not a curated record. The transcript is spliced from 3 exons. Lineage: Eukaryota; Metazoa; Chordata; Mammalia; Chiroptera; Pteropodidae.
CUGUGAAUCAUGUAGCCGUGAGACCACAGGAUUAACCUCACGCCUCCACUACUGAGGACAAGUGGCUGUAUAGAGAUGCUGCUUUUACACAACCAAGCCGGCCUUUCUGGAGGAUCCUGAUCCUAUAGGCAAAAGGGUGAUGGUGCAUAGAUGAGCUGGAAAAGAAGGAGGGAUCGACUCUUCAUUCUUUGAGCCUGGAGGAAAGAAAGUAGAGGUUUACCUCAAAAACUGUGAAAUGGGCUGGCAGAGAAGUGGAAGCGAAUUCUCCAUUAAUUAAAAAAAAAAAGAGUUGUUGGAAAAUUUGAUCUCUAAUAUACACGAUGAUUAAAAAAUA